RNAcentral lists this ribosomal RNA (521 nucleotides) under uncultured bacterium. Its description in RNAcentral is "bacterial SSU rRNA". It matches the Rfam family "Bacterial small subunit ribosomal RNA", at positions 386 to 896 of the family's 1533-position model. The record is from RNAcentral.
AUCCAGCCAUGCCGCGAUGGGUUGAAGAAGGCCUUCGGGUUGUAAAGCCCUUUUGUCCGGAAAGAAAAGCUUUCGGCUAAUACCCGGAAGUUCUGACGGUACCGGAAGAAUAAGCACCGGCUAACUUCGUGCCAGCAGCCGCGGUAAUACGAAGGGUGCAAGCGUUACUCGGAAUUACUGGGCGUAAAGCGUGCGUAGGUGGUUCGUUAAGUCUGAUGUGAAAGCCCUGGGCUCAACCUGGGAAUUGCAUUGGAUACUGGCGGGCUAGAGUGCGGUAGAGGAUGGCGGAAUUCCCGGUGUAGCAGUGAAAUGCGUAGAGAUCGGGAGGAACAUCCGUGGCGAAGGCGGCCAUCUGGACCAGCACUGACACUGAGGCACGAAAGCGUGGGGAGCAAACAGGAUUANAUACCCUGGUAGUCCACGCCCUAAACGAUNCGAACUGGAUGUUGGGAGCAACUAGGCUCUCAGUAUCGAAGCUAACGCGUUAAGUUCGCCGCCUGGGGAGUACGGUCGCAAGACUG